UACGUAGGGUGCAAGCGUUACUCGGAAUUACUGGGGGUAAAGCGUGCGCAGGCGGCUUUGCAAGACAGAUGUGAAAUCCCCGGGCUUAACCUGGGAACUGCAUUUGUGACUGCAUGGCUGGAGUGCGGCAGAGGGGGAUGGAAUUCCGCGUGUAGCAGUGAAAUGCGUAGAUAUGCGGAGGAACACCGAUGGCGAAGGCAAUCCCCUGGGCCUGCACUGACGCUCAUGCACGAAAGCGUGGGGAGCAAACAGG
Molecule: ribosomal RNA, 253 nt
Filed under: uncultured bacterium
Lineage: Bacteria
Description: partial 16S ribosomal RNA
Rfam family: Bacterial small subunit ribosomal RNA
Source: RNAcentral